UACGUAGGCAGCGAGCGUUGUUCGGAGUUACUGGGCGUAAAGAGUGCGUAGGCGGUUUUCUAAGUUUGGUGUGAAAUCUCCCGGCUUAACUGGGAGGGUGCGCCGAAAACUGGAAGGCUUGAGUAUGGGAGAGGUAAGCGGAAUUCCUGGCGUAGCGGUGAAAUGCGUAGAUAUCAGGAGGAACACCUGCGGUGUAGACGGCUUAUUGGACCAUAACUGACGCUGAGGCACGAAAGCGUGGGUAGCAAACAGG
This 253-nucleotide ribosomal RNA is filed under the name uncultured bacterium. RNAcentral's name for it is "partial 16S ribosomal RNA". It matches the Rfam family "Bacterial small subunit ribosomal RNA", at positions 524 to 776 of the family's 1533-position model. The record is from RNAcentral.